CACCAAACAGACACUGGUCACUCAGGGUUGUCGCCUGAUCAUCAGGAAGGCUCACCAGGAGGCCGGUGACUGUGAACACGCUGGGGAAGGUUGGACCUGAGUUUGAGUCCCUUGUCCUUCUGAGGGCCUUCAUUUCAGGUCCAGUGUUGCCCAAAAAUAUCAAGCAAUCCCCUCCCUGCUCAGCAUGGUGGAGUCAGGGGAGAUGGUGUGAGUGACCUGGUUCAGUCCUGUGAAAGCUGGAUUCCUGAUCAGUGGACCAGGGAGGGCAAGUCUCUCUCACUCUGGAGACCUUUUCAGAUCCACUCUCUUAGCAACUUUCAAGUAAACAAGACGGAAUUGCUAACUACAGUCCCCAUGCUGUACAUCAGAUCCCUAGAAAUUCUCCAUCUGAUAAGGGGACGUCUGUGCGCUUUGAC
RNAcentral lists this long non-coding RNA (416 nucleotides) under Equus asinus (donkey). RNAcentral describes it as "lncRNA (ENSEASG00005033962.1)". The record is from RNAcentral. Lineage: Eukaryota; Metazoa; Chordata; Mammalia; Perissodactyla; Equidae.